CCUAGGGGUGGCUGCAGUGGGGAAUAUUGGACAAUGGGCGAAAGCCUGAUCCAGCCAUGCCGCGUGUGUGAAGAAGGCCUUCGGGUUGUAAAGCACUUUCAGUGGGGAAGAAAGCCUUGGGGCUAAUACCCUCGAGGAAGGACAUCACCCACAGAAGAAGCACCGGCUAACUCCGUGCCAGCAGCCGCGGUAAUACGGAGGGUGCGAGCGUUAAUCGGAAUUACUGGGCGUAAAGCGCGCGUAGGCGGUCUGAUAAGCCGGUUGUGAAAGCCCCGGGCUCAACCUGGGAACGGCAUCCGGAACUGUCAGGCUAGAGUGCAGGAGAGGAAGGUAGAAUUCCUGGUGUAGCAGUGAAAUGCGUAGAGAUCGGGAGGAAUACCAGUGGCGAAGGCGGCCUUCUGGACUGACACUGACGCUGAGGUGCGAAAGCGUGGGUAGCAAACAGGAUUAGAUACCCUGGUAGUC
RNAcentral lists this ribosomal RNA (465 nucleotides) under Vreelandella stevensii. RNAcentral describes it as "partial 16S ribosomal RNA". It matches the Rfam family "Bacterial small subunit ribosomal RNA", at positions 338 to 795 of the family's 1533-position model. Lineage: Bacteria; Pseudomonadati; Pseudomonadota; Gammaproteobacteria; Oceanospirillales; Halomonadaceae. The record is from RNAcentral.